Cynocephalus volans (Philippine flying lemur) is the source of this 331-nucleotide long non-coding RNA. RefSeq lists it as uncharacterized. NCBI's taxonomy places the organism in Eukaryota, Metazoa, Chordata, Mammalia, Dermoptera, Cynocephalidae. The transcript is spliced from 4 exons. The record is from RefSeq and is a predicted model, not a curated record.
GCGGUCAAUUGGAGCUUGUCGGCCGGAGGUCAGCUCACCACGGCCUGCGCGCGGUGUGGUCGGCGUGGCCAUUAAUACAGGGGAAAAAAGCAGGAACUGUUCAAAUACUGACCUGGAAGAGUCUGCAUUUAUUGUACUGUGUGUCCGAGCCUGGGAAAUAUGGACACAGAGACAGACACACACAGAAGAAAGACAAUGUGAAGAGCUACAGAGAGAAGAGAGCUGUCUACAAGCCAAGGGAAGAGGCCUGGAACAGAUUCUCCCUCACAUCCCUCAGAAGGAACCCUCUCUGCCAAUACCUUGUUUUCAGACUUCCAGUUUCCGGAACCAU